UGGGGAAUAUUGCACAAUGGGGGAAACCCUGAUGCAGCGACGCCGCGUGAGCGAAGAAGGUUUUCGAAUCGUAAAGCUCUGUCCUAUGAGAAGAUAAUGACGGUAUCAUAGGAGGAAGCCCCGGCUAAAUACGUGCCAGCAGCCGCGGUAAUACGUAUGGGGCGAGCGUUGUCCGGAAUUAUUGGGCGUAAAGGGUACGUAGGCGGCAUGGCAAGUCCGAUGUAAAAGGCGAAGGCUCAACCUUCGUAAGCAUCGGAAACUGUCAAGCUUGAGUGAAGGAGAGGCAAGUGGAAUUCCUAGUGUAGCGGUGGAAUGCGUAGAUAUUAGGAGGAAUACCGGUGGCGAAGGCGACUUGCUGGACUUCAACUGACGCUGAGGAACGAAAGCGUGGGUAGCAAACAGG
Molecule: ribosomal RNA, 403 nt
Filed under: Verrucomicrobiota bacterium
Lineage: Bacteria; Pseudomonadati; Verrucomicrobiota
Description: Verrucomicrobia bacterium partial 16S ribosomal RNA
Rfam family: Bacterial small subunit ribosomal RNA
Source: RNAcentral